Molecule: ribosomal RNA, 508 nt
Filed under: uncultured bacterium
Lineage: Bacteria
Description: partial 16S ribosomal RNA
Rfam family: Bacterial small subunit ribosomal RNA
Source: RNAcentral
GACGAACGCUGGCGGCGUGCCUAAUACAUGCAAGUCGAACGCUUCUUUCCUCCCGAGUCCUUGCACUCAAUUGGAAAGAGGGUUGGCGGACGGGUGAGUAACACGUGGGUAACCUACCCAUCAGAGAGGGAUAACACUUGGAAACAGGUGCUAAUACCGCUGAACAGUUUAUUCUGCAUGCCAUAAGUGUGACAGGCGCUCUCGGCUGGCGUUGAUGGAUGGACCGGCGGUGCAUUAGCUAGUUGGCGAGGUAACGGUUAACCGAGUCGAUGAUGCAUAACCGAGCUGGGAGGGUGAUCGGCCACAGUGGAACUGGGAAACGGACAAGAGUCCUAAGGGAGGCAGCAGUAGGGAAUAAUGGGCAAUGGACGAAAGUCUGACCGAGCAACGGCGCGUGAGUGAAAAAAGUUUUCGGAUCGGGAAACUUUGUUUUUGGAGAAGAACAAGGAUGUUAGAAAAUGAACGUCUACUGACGGUAUAUAACCAAAAAGCAACGGCUAACUACGUG